This 24-nucleotide non-coding RNA is filed under the name Arabidopsis thaliana (thale cress). Lineage: Eukaryota; Viridiplantae; Streptophyta; Magnoliopsida; Brassicales; Brassicaceae. The record is from RNAcentral.
UGCAGAUCAUGUAGGACAAGUGCA